Molecule: ribosomal RNA, 263 nt
Filed under: uncultured bacterium
Lineage: Bacteria
Description: partial 16S ribosomal RNA
Rfam family: Bacterial small subunit ribosomal RNA
Source: RNAcentral
CCGGCGCACGGGUGAGUAACGCGUAUGCAACCUGCCCGUUUCAGCGGGAUAACCCGGAGAAAUCCGGCCUAAUACCGCAUGUGGCCGAGGGGAGGCAUCUUCUUUCGGCCAAAGGAGGCAACUCCGGAGACGGAUGGGCAUGCGUGACAUUAGCUUGUUGGCGGGGUAACGGCCCACCAAGGCGACGAUGUCUAGGGGUUCUGAGAGGAAGGUCCCCCACACUGGUACUGAGACACGGACCAGACUCCUACGGGAGGCAGCAG